Molecule: RNA transcript, 3606 nt
Organism: Centrocercus urophasianus (Greater sage-grouse)
Lineage: Eukaryota; Metazoa; Chordata; Aves; Galliformes; Phasianidae
Gene name: filaggrin-2-like
Exons: 5
Source: RefSeq, a predicted model, not a curated record
GACUCGGAGCGGCACGAAAGCGGCGCGGAGCUUCUCCGAGGUUCUCGGAGCGGCUCGGUGGGGCUCGGAGCUCCUCGGAGGGGCUCGGAACGACUCGCAGCGGCUCGGAGCUACUCGGAGGGACUCGGAGCGGCGAGAAAGCGGCUCGGAGCUUCUCCGAGGGGCUCGGAACGACUCGCAGCAGCUCGGAGCUACUCGGAAAGACUCGGAGCAGCUCGGAAGGACUCGGAGCAGCUCGGAGCGGCUUGGAGUUGCUCGGAGGGGCUCGGAGCGACUCGCAGCGGCUCGGAGAUUCUCGAUCGCGUUACCGGUGUGCAGCAGCACCGACACGAGCAUGUCUCGGGAAAGCAAUACAUCUGAGCAAAUCCGGGCUCUGUAACGCGCUAUAUAUACGCGCCGGUUUCUGCCACGCGAGACGCAUACGCCAGCCGCGGCACGGUAAUACGCAUGCGCCAGCUCAGCACCGAACAGCGUAUGCGACUUCUUGACACAGCACUGCGCAUGCGUCGGUCAUUGCGUGCAGCCCGCAUGCGCCGACUUCAUGCAGGCAGUACCCCUGCGCCUUCCUGGACAUCGCACUGCGCAUGCGUCAGUUUCCUCACCGCAGAGCGCAUGCGCAAUUCUCCUCGCUGCAGCGCACAUGAGGCGAGACCGGACAGGACUCUUUCGCGCAAAAUUCAUAUCUGCUUUUCCAUGCGCGUUGUUGGGCACGGAUUGGUUACGAGGGGACACCAGAAGCGCGGAAAAAAAUUGAACGCAGUUCCGCACACCGGCCACACAGGAGCAGCGCAGAGAGCGGAAAACACUUCGCUGCAGUUCCGCAUAUCGGCCACAUGGGGGCAGUGCAGAAACAGCGGAAAAGACUUCGCUGCAGUUCCGCAUACCGGCCACACGAGGGCAGUGCAGAGACCGGGAAAAAACUUCGUUGCAGUUCCGCAUACCGGCCACACAGGGCAGUGCCGAGACCAGGAAAAAACUUCGUUGCAGUUCCGCAUACCGGCCACACGGGGGAAGUGCAGAGAGCGGAAAACACUUCGCUGCAGUUCCGCAUAUCGGCCACAUGGGGGCAGUGCAGAAACAGCGGAAAAGACUUCGCUGCAGUUCCGCAUAUCGGCCACACGAGGGCAGCGCAGAGAGCGGAAAGCACUUCGCUGCAGUUCCGCAUAUCGGCCACAUGGGGGCAGCACAGACAGCGGAGAAAACUUCGUUGCAGUUCAUCAUAUCGACCACACGAGGGCAGUGCAGAGACCGGGAAAAGACUUCGCUGCAGUUCCACAUAUUGGCCACACGAGGGCAGCCGAGAGAGCGAAGAACACUUCGUCACGCUGCACUGCGCAUGUGCCAACUUGGUCACUGCACAGCGCGUGCGCCUCACUUCAUGCAGUACGGCACAUGCGCCGCUCUCGCAGCGGCACUGCUCAUGCGCUCGUCCAGACGCACGCACAGUCGAUUCGCAGCGCAGUGCGCAUGCUUCAGUCCCGUUGCAGUUCCACAUGUCGGCCACACGGGGGCAGCCCAGAGAGCGGAAAGCACUUCGUUGCAGUUCCGCAUAUUGGCCACAGGAGGGCAGCACAGAGUGCGGAAAAACUUCGUUACAGUUCCGCAUAUUGGCAACACGGGGGCAGUGCAGAGACAGCGGAAAAAACUUCGUUGCAGUUCCGCAUAUCGGCCACCCGAGGGCAGUGCAGAGACAGCGGAGAACACUUCGUUGCAGUUCCGCUUAUCGGCCACACGGGGGCAGUGCAGAGACCGGGAAAAAAUGUUGCAGUUCCGCAUAUCCGUCACACGAGGGCAGUGCAGAGAGAGGUAAAAACUUCGUUGCAGUUCCUCAUAUCGGCCACAUGGGGGCAGUGCAGAGACAGCGGAAAAAACUUCGUUGCAGUUUCUCAUAUCGGCCACAGGAGGGCAGCACAGACGGCGGAGAAAACUUCGUUGCAGUUCCGCAUAUCGGCCACACGGGGGCAGUGCAGAGACAGCGGAAAAAGACUUCGUCGCAGUUUCUCAUAUCGGCCACAGGAGGGCAGCCGAGACAGCGGAAAAGAAUUCGUCACGCUGCACUGCGCAUGCGUUGUCGGCCGAGUUCGCACGGCGCAUGCACCAAUUUCUCCGCACUGUGCAUGUGCCCACUUGGUCACAGCACUGCGCGUGCGCCUCACUUCAUGUGGUGCGGCGCAUGCGCCGCUCUCGCAGCGGCACUGCGCAUGCGCUCAUCCAGACGUACGCGCAGUAGUUUCGCAGCGCACUGAGCACGGGCCAGUCCCGGCGCUGCACUGCGCAUGCGUUUUCGGCCGAGUUCGCACGGCGCGUGCGCCUGUUUCUCCGCACUGCGGGCGAGCGCAGCACAGAGAGUGGAAAACACUUCGUUGCAGUUCCGCAUAUUGGCCACAAGAGGGCAGCCCAGAGAGCGGAAAACUGCGCAUGCGCUCAUCCAGACGCGUCGUCGCCUCCUUGCUGUUCCUUGCCCCAGCAGUGCUGUGUACUGCACGUGUGCUCUGUGAGCUUGCCAGUGAGGAAUGCUUCAGCAGCUGGGAUGUGGUUUUUCAUUGCCACUUUAACAGCAACUUCUUCCCCCUGUUCCUGGAGCACCUGCUGUCAGACCAGAUCUCUGUAUCUACUGGAUCCUUCCUCCUUGCAACCGGAUGUUCACAGAAGGGACCUGUAAGUUGCUCAACCUGGUGGUGACUGACUUGGUGGAUGAGGAUCUUGUACUGAACCGCAGAAAGCAGGCAGCUUCAGCACCGCUUUUUGGGAUGGUUGCUCUGGUCAGCAAGCCAGGACAGACCUUGGCCCCCCUGAUAGGCACCUGGCUGCUCUCUGUGUACACAGUCUGUUCUGACAGGAGUAGGAGAGCGAGCAGUGUGGCCUCAGCUGGGAACAGACCACCAAAUCUGCCUACCUCCCUCCAACUUCUCCCAGCCCAGCAGUGAGCCCUGAGAAUGUGCUUCCAGCUGGAGCAGCACGCUACCUGCUUACAUUCAUGUCUGAUGGGGCAGUGCACAGGCUUCUGCCAGGCCUCUGGAGCAGGGCUGCUGCAGCCUUCCAGCUCUUUCCCUGUCUUGGCUCUGGAGAGCGACCCCAGGGUGAUGUGUGGAAAUGAAGAGAAAGGAGGGGAACACAGAGGAACUGCCAACAAGCAACUCCAGGCCCGCUGCUAAUGCCAGGUACUGCAGAAAAUCAGUGGUGAAGCAAAUGAGCACCAAGUAAUGCAUAAGAACACUCACGACUAACAGUGCCGCAACCCAACACAAGCUGCUCUGGAGGCCUUCCAAUCUCUGUAGAAACAGCAGCUACAGAAGAGCAGCCAGUAGAUGAGCAGAAAGGCAUAAGCAGCUCAGUGGGACGGCAGAACACAGCCCCUGCAACAGCUUGCUGCUCACAACCCAGCUGCUCACAUCACUGUACACAUACUGAUACAAGUUAUUGUCCUCUCAUGUAGUGUAUUCAUAGAGAACAGCAAAACUUCCUAAAAAAAAGUUAUUGAGUGCUGUAGCAGGGCUGACUAGUUAUUAUGCUAAGCAUGUGUGCUGUUGUCACGGUUUUAUGAUUUUUGGGCAUCAGUAUUCCACACCAUAACAUCAUGUAAUGCACUGGGGGUGGGGUUUGACA